UUUCACUCUYCUGUAAMAGGRAGAGACUUCCUCUUAUGCACCUUGUGARAAAUCAUAAGUUUUUGGGUUCUGGGGGAAGUAUGGYCSCAAGGCUGAAACUUAAAGGAAUUGACGGAGGGGCACCACCAGGAGUGGASCGUGCGGCUUAAUUUGACUCAACACGGGAAAACUUACCAGGUCCAGACAUUU
This 189-nucleotide ribosomal RNA is filed under the name Vannella pentlandii. Its description in RNAcentral is "partial small subunit ribosomal RNA". The record is from RNAcentral. Lineage: Eukaryota; Discosea; Flabellinia; Vannellidae.